RNAcentral lists this ribosomal RNA (471 nucleotides) under uncultured organism. RNAcentral's name for it is "partial 16S ribosomal RNA". It matches the Rfam family "Bacterial small subunit ribosomal RNA", at positions 335 to 797 of the family's 1533-position model. The record is from RNAcentral.
ACUCCUACGGGAGGCAGCAGUGGGGAAUUUUGGACAAUGGGCGAAAGCCUGAUCCAGCAAUGCCGCGUGAGUGAAGAAGGCCUUCGGGUUGUAAAGCUCUUUUGUCAGGGAAGAAACGGUGAGAGCUAAUAUCUCUUGCUGAUGACGGUACCUGAAGAAUAAGCACCGGCUAACUACGUGCCAGCAGCCGCGGUAAUACGUAGGGUGCAAGCGUUAAUCGGAAUUACUGGGCGUAAAGCGUGCGCAGGCGGUUUUGUAAGUCUGAUGUGAAAUCCCCGGGCUCAACCUGGGAAUUGCAUUGGAGACUGCAAGGCUAGAAUCUGGCAGAGGGGGGUAGAAGUCCACGUGUAGCAGUGAAAUGCGUAGAUAUGUGGAGGAACACCGAUGGCGAAGGCAGCCCCCUGGGUCAAGAUUGACGCUCAUGCACGAAAGCGUGGGGAGCAAACAGGAUUAGAUACCCUGGUAGUCCCA